UCAAGUCAAGCAAACCAGAUCAGACCGUAGAGCAGCAGCUGCAGCAGUUCCGAGCUCGAGCUAUUUUUUACCCUAAAAGGGUAAAUAUAGGUAAAAUAAAAAUGAAAGAAGAAAAAGAAAAGUGGAAAGCUGUAACGGUGAAAACCGCUUAUCUUGUCUGGUUCGGAUGCAUACAAAUGUACAGAGAUUCGGAUUAGAAAGUACAGUGGAAAAAGUUAGAAACCCGUGACGGAAAGGGCGAUCUGCACGUGACCUUUUUUGGACGCAAACAAAGGGAAGAGCGAGAAAGUGAGAAGCGCAGGUGAACCGGUACCACGUGUUGUAUGGCUGAAGAGGAAAAUGGACACAUUGGC
Molecule: long non-coding RNA, 353 nt
Filed under: Coffea arabica (coffee)
Lineage: Eukaryota; Viridiplantae; Streptophyta; Magnoliopsida; Gentianales; Rubiaceae
Description: long non-coding RNA (CARA_LNC005229)
Source: RNAcentral